RNAcentral lists this transfer RNA (70 nucleotides) under Corynorhinus rafinesquii (Rafinesque's big-eared bat). RNAcentral's name for it is "tRNA-Val". It matches the Rfam family "tRNA". Rfam says of the family: Transfer RNA (tRNA) molecules are approximately 80 nucleotides in length. Their secondary structure includes four short double-helical elements and three loops (D, anti-codon, and T loops). The record is from RNAcentral. Lineage: Eukaryota; Metazoa; Chordata; Mammalia; Chiroptera; Vespertilionidae.
CAAAGUGUAGCUUAAAUAUAAAGCACCUAGUUUACACCUAGAAGAUUUCGAGUAAUACUGACCACUUUGA